AAAAAGAAAAAGUAAACAAGAGCCUCAACAAAUAUAAAUGGGUUGUAAGCCUGCUCAAUUGUCAACACGGCCUGGGCUAUAAAUAUGAGAUCAAUAUUAACAAUUGGGCUUAAUUUUAGCAUUUGGACCCACUGAAGUUAAUGGAUUCAAUGGUUGACGGGCUUAAAAUGACACAGGCUGAGGCUGGUCUUGGUUUGGAAUUGGAGGGCUAUGUGCUCCAAGCUUCCCAUUUAUCAGUCAAAUCUCAAAAAUUUUACCAUCCAGAUUAAACUAACAUAAUACAUCUUUAUUUGGAAUAAAUUAUUUGUAAAAAAAAAAAUUAAGCAUGAUUGAUGUGUUGAUUCUAUUGUCAACAUCGCACUCAUCAUAGGGUUCCCACUUUUAACGACACGAUUGACGAGUUACUCUCAAUUCUCUAAUCUCUACUUCCUCAUAUCAUAUAUACAAUGGUCCUUUAUGAUACAAUACCCCAAUAUAUUGUAAACCUCAAGGAUUGGAUAACAAUAAGAGUUUUAUCGAACAACAUGAUUGUGUUUGGCUAACCUGAAAAUCCAAGGCAGCCACUGAGCUUUCAAUAUUGUGCACGUUCAUGGGUCCCAACAUAAUGCCAAUUUGAUCUCUUUCCUGAUUUUUUUUUUUUAAAUUAUAAAGAAAGAGCAGACGGGAGAUAAUACAUAUGGUGCUACUCUUACUCUAUACUAAGAUAAAUUUUGUUUUAGUGCAAGUCAUGAGGUGUUAUUAAUUUAUAUUUACAUUUUUUAAAUUAUAUGGACAGAAGAAUGUGCUAGAAAUUCUCAAGUCUAACGUAGAUCAAGUUCCAUAUUCAAAAUGGGUAGGUGACAUAAAUGUGAAACUAUGGAAAUUGAAAAGUUACAUAAUUCCCUGCACGAUACAUGUAUUGACGGAGACCUGGCCACCGCCCAGUAGAUCAAGUGGAGUUGGUUGCUGUAUACCUCACAUAAAAUGACUGGUAUAGUGAUCCAAUGAUCCUGCCCUAUUGUGCACAUAUAAGUAUAAGAUAAUUUUUCAUGGUGAUUAGGAAUAAAGUCAUAUAUUGGAACUUUGUUAAAUCAAACUCCAUAUAAAUAUAAUUAAAUAAGGUGAAUUGAGUUUAAAAAAAAUUAAAUCGUUUUCGCAUAUUUAUAUUUUAGUUUAAUUUUUUAAUUUUAAUUUAAUUGAUUUAACAUUUUAAUAUAAUUUUAAUUAAUUUUUAAAUUUUUAAAUUUUAUAAUUUAUGUGAGAAUUUGAUAUAUCACAUAUAUUAUCAUAAUUAUUUUUAAUUGAUUAAAUAAUUAAAAAAUACUUAAUAUUUAUAUUAUUUAACAUUUUAAUUUAAAUAUUUAAAUUUUAGAUAAAUUGACUUAACAUUUAUAUUUGAAUAUAAUUUUAAUUUAUUUUUAAAAUUAAAAUUAAUAAUCUAAAAAUUAAAUAUAUACUUCAUAUAUUCAAUAGUAAUAAAUUUUAUUUCAUAAUAAUAAUUACGAAUAUUUUAUAAUAAAUAUAUAUUUAAUUUAAAAUAAAAAAUAUGUAUAAAAUAAUUAAAAAUAAUAUAUUUAUUAUAAAAUUUUUAUAAUUAUUAAUAUAAAAUAAAAUUUAUUUACUGUGUGAACUGUGAAGCGCAUAUUUAAUCAUUAAAUUACUUUAUUUUAAAAUUAAAAAAAUAUGAAUUAAUAUUAUUUAUAUAUAAAAUUAAUUUAUAUUUAAAAAUAGUAAAAUAUUAUAUUUAACAUUCUAUUUAAAUUUUUUUAUAUUUUAAUUUAUAAAAAUUGACUAAAAUUAUAUUUAAAUAUAAAUAUUAAGUUAAUUAAAAUAAAAUUUAAAUAUUUAAAUUAAAAUAUAAAAUAAUAUAAAUAUUAUAUUUUUUUAGUCAUUUAAUCAUUAAUAAUAAUAAUAAUAAAACACAUAUUAUAUUAAUUAUAUAAUUAAAUUAUCAUAUAAAUUAUUAAAUUUAUAAAUUAAUUAAAAUUAUAUUAAAAUAUAAAAAUUAAAUUAAUUAAACUAAAAUUAAAAUACAAACAGACUCAAAGUUGAGUGAAUUAGCCAUUAAUUAAUGAAUAGAAAACCAGAGACUGGAAAUUUAUUAUGAAUUAUAAUCCACAUUUGUCGGUCGGUGACCCUCUCCCUCUCUUUUUUUUAGUAUAACUAUGUAACGUCAACAGCCACCCAAGAAUAUUAAGAAAUUAAAUUGUUAGCAUUUUAAUAUCCAGGAAAAGAAAUUCAAAUUAAACAGCUAAAAUGGAUUCUCUCGAUAAGAUCGUCAUCAAUGACAUGCCUAUAAACACAUGCUUGCUUAUGUACUGAAAUGGAAAGUAAAAGGCUAGCGGAUACGUCUUGUCUCCAAAUGGAGAAACAGCAGAUUCAUCUCCAUUAUUAAAAAAAAAAAAAUUAAAAUUAAAAUUGAAUAAAUGCUGGCAUACAAAAGUUUUGAUUUUUUUUUCUUCUUCUUAAUUUUCACUUUCCAUACAUGCCAACGUGAAUCUAGGGUUUCAAGUAUCUGAUUUAUUAUAAUUAAUGUGGUUUAAAAUACGUUCUUCUAGGAGUCAGAAAUACAAUUUUAAUAAAAUAUGUUCCUCCCGUUUUCUCUCGGUAGUUCCUGCGGCGGCUUAGUUCUUUUUCUCUAUUAUUUACUAAAAAAAAAAAUACUGUGAUAUAGGUGAUUUUAAUUCCAGAUAGGCUUUCAGGUAUCUGAAUUAUAAUUCGGUCUAAAAUAUUUUAUAUUAUAAUUUAAAUGAAAUUUAUUUAUGAGUUUUAUAAUGAUAAAUUAAUAAUAAAAAAGUUUAUUUUCUUAUAUAAUCAUCAUUUUUUUUCAUUUUUCUAUCCAAUAAAUUAUUAUAAUUUUAAACUUCCAUAUUCAAAAGUAACAUAAUAAAUUUUGAGAGAACGUAGGAAUGGAUUAUAAAUUUUAUUUUAUUUCUAAUAUUUUUCCUCCAAUUUAUUUUCUUUUCAUUUAAAUAAAAAUGAGUAGAAAAUAAAUUUAUUUUAUUCUCAAAUUUUCUUCCAUCCCAAUUUUUUCCCUAAUCCAAACAUGGGUAAGUCUAAUUUGAUAUAAAAUUUAACUAAGAAUGCUUGGUUUUAGUUAGAAUUGAAUUCAAUUCAAAAUUUAUUAAUUCGAUUGUACUUUGAAUCGACCAGCAGCCGAUGUAAGCGUGUUGUUGAAUUGAAAAAGAGGGAGCUAUGAAUUGUCAAGAGAAAUAUAGAAAAAGGGGAUUGACAUUUGAGAGAGUAAAACCUCGUGCUUCUCGAGGAAAGCUGUGUCCCAAAAUUCGCUGAGAAACAAAUCCUAGGCUUUGGAUCGUUACGCCCCUCAACUAGUCGUAGCUGUAUUUUCCUUUUUUCGCUCACGCCCCCUCUAUAUUGAAACGUCCUGCCUUUUGGACCACGUAAAAAAAUACAUAUAAUAUAAUUAUAAGUUUUUUUUUGUUAUUUUAUAUUAUUACUCUAAAUGAAAAUUCGCAACGUGGACUAUAACUGGCCCCUAUAUUAUUAUUUAUAUUUUUGAAUACGAAAGCAGAAAAAGAAAAGGAGAAAAAAAAACAAAGGAAACGCGUGAUCCGUAGCUACCAAUCACGCAGGCUUUAUACUUUGGGCGGAGUAGAUCAUAGGCGUACGACCCCGUGAUCGGCAUAUGGCAUUCAAACGACUGCGCAACAGUCAGAAACACAGCUGCACAGUAAAUUGAAGGCUAUUCACUCACUUCACAGCGCUGCACACAGGCUCUUCAGGGCGCUACAGUUUUCACCGCUCUCGACCUUUUUUUAUUUUUAUUUUUGUUUUUAUGUAGGUUUAUAAUUUCUCUAUCAUGCGCUUUUCGGCAUUCUCUAGAGACGCAGAGAGCUGCGAAAAUCGCUAUGGACGAUGAAGCACCGGUGGUUUAUUCAUGGUUUUGACGGACUUUUCAUCGAGCAUCUCAGGUGCCCUCAAGCCCCACAUCCCCAAAUCACUUUUUGUUUGUUUCCGGCUUUUUGUUUAAUAUUUUAUAUAUUUACUACAUAAUUAGCUGAAGUUUAUUUAUCUUUUUAUAAUUAUCUGUUGAGUACUAUGUGCUCAAUUACUGUCUCUAAUAUGCACGGAUCUGUUUGUGUGUAGCUUUUGAGAUUUGGGUUCGUUUUAUCACAAUUUCUGGCUAGUUUAUCACAUUUUUAGUUGUUUAUCUCAUAAGGUUUAGUGAAUUAGAACUGGGAUCCGUGUUUUUUUUUAUUAUGAUUAUGGGCUUUUCAUGAUCUUUUUUUAAAUUAAUGGGCUUUCAGCAUUCUGACAGUGUUUUGCUUGGUGGAAUUUAGCACACUGCCUAGGGUUUUAUUGAGAUGAUUGGGAUCCUAUGAUUUGACGGGUUGACUCGUUGAGUCGCCAUGGAAAGUUUCAGUGAAGAAGAGGAUCAGUUCUUUGAAGCCCGCGAGGACAUUAGAUCUGUAUCUGAUUCGAGCUCUGAUUGCCCGGAGAAUUUAGAUUCUGAUUGUGGGGUAGUUGAUUCCUUGCCUAUUAGUACUAAUUAUGAGGUUUGGAUUAAGAGCCUGGGCAGCAUUCAUGAACGGCGCAAUAAAUUUCUCAGGUGGAUGGGUUUGAAUUUUGAUGAGACCACGAGAGAUGAUCCUGGUAAUCCAUCUUCACAGGAAACAGAAGUUCAGACUGAUAGAAUGACAGAACAUGGUGGGGCGGUUCUAAGAUCAUCAAAUUUUGAUGAUAGGUUUUCAUCAAGCCAUUCUUCCAUGUCAUGUUGUUCAAGUGAUACCUUAGACUUGUUAGAUGGAGUGUUGGAGGAGAAUUUCAUGUAUAGAAUUAGAAACUUGGAUGAUGGGACAGAGUUUAUUGUGGAUGAAGAUGGUUUGUCUGGGAGGAUACGUCAAGUGGGAUCGAAUCGAUUCCUUACAGUGGCAGAGUUUGAGAGGAGUCUAGGAUUAUCCCCUCUUGUUCAGACAGUGAUGCGGAGAGAAGCUGAAGCGUUGUCUAAAUUUAGGGCAGCAAGAAAGCGGGUGAAGAGAGGAUGGUUGAGGAGAUUAGGUGUUGUUGCUUGUGUUGUUGAUAGGCAAGUUGAAACUGGAGGUAUGGGAGAGGAUGAACCCUAUUCUGUUGCAAGUGCUAGGGCUCAAAUUGUCAGAGUUCGGUCAUAUAAGAAGCGGGUCAAGGAAUUUUCUGCUCUUUAUAUGAGACAAGAUUUUCCGGCCCAUGAAGGCUCUAUUUUGACAAUGAAGUUCAGUCCUGAUGGCCAGUACCUUGCAAGUGCUGGUGAAGAUGGAAUUGUGCGUGUAUGGCAGGUGAUGGAGUUAGAGAGAUCCAAUGAGUUUGGCACACUUGAUAUUGAUCCUUCGCAUGUAUAUUUCGAAAUUAAUAAUCUUUCUGAAUUAGUUCCUCUUCGUGCUGAUAAAGAGAAAAAGGGGAAACUCAAGAAUCUGCUAACAUCAGACUUGGCUUGUGUUAUCUUUCCUCAAAAAGUAUUCCAAAUAUCAGAGAAACCAAUCCAUGAAUUUUAUGGGCAUUGUGGAGAGAUCUUGGACCUCUCCUGGUCAAAGAAUAAGGUUAGUGAAUCUCAGAAUAAUUUACUUAUUCUGGAUUGCUAAUGUUGAAUUUUAUUUCUGAUUGCCAUACUGUAUGCAGCAUCUCCUGUCAUCUUCUACGGAUAAGACUGUUCGGUUGUGGAAAUUGGGCUGUAAUCAAUGUGUGGAAGUCUUUUCCCACAAUAACUAUGGUGUGUUCUUUGACUUUUUGUUUUCCUAAGAUUACUCAUGCUGUGUUAUUUGUAUUCAAGUGCCUAAUUGAUCUGUUCCACUCAUUUUAAUGUGUAUCCAUUUUGAUUGGUUUCUAUUCAUGCUACCUGUAAUACAGUUACAUGCAUUCAGUUUAAUCCCACGGAUGAUGAUUCAUUCAUCAGCGGUUCCAUAGAUGGGAAAGUACGCAUCUGGGCAAUUCCUGGUUGCCAAGUUAUUGACUGGACUGAUGUUACAGAAAUUGUUACAGCUGUUUGUUAUCAACCUGAUGGAAAGGUUAGGAGUUGACAUCUCUAGUUAGUUUCGCACUGUGAGCAUGUGUCAUUAAUUGUAAUGAUUUUGAGUGCAUUGCUUUCUCUUGCAGGGUAUAGUAGUUGGCUCCAUGACUGGCAAUUGUCGGUUUUAUGAUGCUUCUGGUAUGCUUUUAAUUUUCUUAUGUUAUUUUGUGCAGGCAAAUAGAAUAUAUAGCGGCAUAUUGAUAUCUUACAGGGUUCAAAUGCCAAAUUAUUCUCUGUUCAUGCAGUUAUUGCGUGUUAUGUGCCAUGUUGUUGUCAUCUAUGUUAGUCAUAAAAUAUUGUUGUCUUUUUCCCUUUUUUUUUUCUAUUUUUAAUCGUUCAGAUACCCCUUAAAAUUUACCCCUGCCUAUGUCCGCAAUUCUGAGCAAGUCUUUUGCAUUCUUGUGCUUGUUGCACUUUUUAAUUUUGGAAUGAGACUCUUUCUACUUCCUAUAUGGCUUAACCCAGUUAUUUUGUCAGCUUGUAUUUUAAAUCCAUGAUACUGAAACUUGUAGUACUGAUAAAGGAGUUGAAUAAGUGGAAAUUGCAGACUACCAAUUGUGAUUAUUUUCUAUUGAAACAAGUGUGAUUUGAACAUCAUGCUAUGAUGCAGGAGGCUUUCUUUGGCGAGCACUAACUGGUGUAUUUUGCAUGGAUCAGAUAAUCGUCUGCAGCUGUGUACGAAAGUGUGCUUACAGGGUAAAAAGAAGUCGCCAUUCAAGAGGAUAACUGGCUUUCAGGUGAGCAGAGGUUUUCAUUUAAUUAUAGUCCCUGUCCUACUCCUUUUUGUUUUCUGUGUUCUUUGGGCUGUAUUGGCUUACAUGUAAAGUUCAUAGAGUUGCCAUUUUGCCCUGCAGUUUUCCCCUAGUGACCCAACCAGAUUAAUGGUUACUUCUGCUGAUUCAAAAGUCCGUAUCCUCAGUGGGGUUGAUGUGAUAUGCAAAUAUCGAGGUGCAUAUGCUUUCCUUACCUUUCUAGCUUACAAAUACUUUCUGUUCUGGUCUUGUCAUAGAAAUCCAAAUUCUAAAAUCCACGUGCUUUGUCUCAUGUUUGCUUCUUCUUUUAUUCGUCUAUCAUUUAUGUGUACAGGGAUACAUAAUGCAGGAAGUCAGAUAUCUGCGUCUUUUACACCAGAUGGCACACACAUUAUUUCAGCAAGUGAGGAUUCUAACGUCUAUGUCUGGAACUAUAGUAGCCAGGAUUUGCCUGUUCCUCAUUCAAAGAACAAUUGGGCAUGUGAGCGGUUCUUCUCAAAUAAUGCAUCAGUUGCUAUACCCUGGUCUGGAAUCACGUGUGGGAAUUCUUUUUCCUCAAAUAUAUUUGGGACAAUGUUGUCAUUCAUGAACUUGGGCCAAUGCAAUGAUGAAAGAAUUUUGGUGCAUUCUGAGCUGGGUGAGAGUUCAGAAUUAAGUUUGCCAUUUUCUUCACCUGAUCAUUUCUCACGGAGCCAAGGAUUUUUCUCUGAAUCAUUAUCCAAGGGUUCUGCAACCUGGCCAGAGGAAAAGCUUCCUUUGAGCUCACCGCGAAUAUCAUCUAAACUGUGUAAAUCCCAUUACAAGUUUUUGAAGACAUCUUUCCAGACUAUGUAUGGUUCUCAUGCAUGGGGUUCAGUAAUUGUGACAGCUGGCUGGGAUGGACGGAUCAGAUGGUUCCAGAAUUACGGAUUGCCAAUUUGCAUCUAAAUAUGUCAAGGUUCAGAAGACCCUGAAGGGAUUUUUUUUCUUUGAGAAAUUUGCCUGCCUUUGGCAAAGCUCAGGUUUCCAUUUUCCUGACUGCACCCUCGUCGAUUGAGUGUGGGAUACAACACAUGCAUGAGCUGAAUAUGUAUCCAUACCCAUGGCAGGUCCUGUGCUGUCUAGUUUACAUGCAUAAGCAAUGGUUGAGAUGUUAAAGCAUUCUUUGGUUCACUGUCUGGCAGAACAAGAAUAUUAGGUGCACAAAAUUGAAUUGUAUAUGUGCCCAGCAUCAAUAGCCUUAUAGACCCAGCUGGUUGGUUAUCCAGUGUACAUACCAUUCUUUGAUUUAUUUUCUUAGCAGUAUGGUGGCUGCUUACCCAAUAUGAAAUGCAGAGUUCUGUUGACGGUCAGGGAGGAUUUUUAGUUUUGUGGGUGCAUGUUGAGAGUCCGUUUUGUGGUAUGCAUUGGGGGAGAUUAGCACUGACCGCUGACAUUGGAAGUCGGCAGACUUGAAGAUAGUCGGAUUCGCAAAUGAUUUCAUCCGUCUCUUUCUAAUGAGAGUUGCAUUUGGUUUUCUGAUUUAAUCAUCAUUAACCCAAGUUAAGCAUCUAGUUUGGAAAGGGUUACGUCGUUGGAAGCUGCUAGAAUUUGCCCAUCUCAAGUCUCCAGGCUUUCCAGGAAAGAAGGGCGAUUCUAAAUCUGUUAAAGCUUGUAUUUUUUUUUUGGGGUCAAAGGGAAAUUUCCUUUAAGCCUCGGGUGCUUUGUCACAGUGGCAAAAAGAAUAUACUUGUAUUAGAUCUGGUUACCAUUUUCAAGUGUAAUAUACCUGUGGAAAAGAAAUUUUUCAUAUUGAUGUUACUCGUGAAUUGUGGGUUUGACGCAUGACAUUUUGAUGUGAAUGUUUGAUAUUUCAAGUUCAAAGCUAUUACUAGUUUGUUUGCUUGAAUUGCAUGAUAAUGCAUAGCCAGCCACAACGGCGGCAAUUUACAAGCAGGAUAACAAAAAUUCAUGCCGACACAUUUGAGGUAAAAACAACUUCCCAAGUAAUGGUCCUAUAAAAUAUAAGAAAAUUGAUUUUCAGUCGGUCAUCUCAUUCAGGUGUUUUUAUUUAUUUAUCUGUGUAAUUUUUUCAAAAAAUAAAGUUAUUAAUUUUAUUUAUCACUGGACAUCAUUUGUUGAUUAUUUAUAAAGUAGAUUAACUGUCGUAUAAUCUUUUACUUGUUUUUUUUUUUUUUUCAUCAUUUACCAUUUGAUUCCCGUUUACCAUUAAUAGCACUUUGAUUCUCAAAUUUUAAAAUAAACAGAUACUCAUACUUAUAUUAUUAUAUCUUGAUAAAUUAUUUUCCUCCUACUUUCUCAUUUAGAUCUUUCAAUGCUUAAUUUUAGGAAAGAGAUCUGUAAAAUAUAAAAAAUAUAUCAAGAGUCUAUUAUGAAUAUUUUCAAUAAAAAUCCUUCAACUUUCAAGUCAGAUCUGUCAAUGUGAAAUGUAAACUGGAAUGAAGUUUUAAUAAUAGGUAGAAGAUGCUGAGAAAGUAAUAAACAAGAAGAAAAAAAGUUGUAGAAGAAGAAAAAGAAAAAAUCUCAUUUGUGUGUGGAGAAAGUCCCUCUUAAAAAUGAUAGAGAAACUCUCUUAUCAAGAUCUGUCCACCUUAAAAAAUAGACUCUCUUUCAUCUUGUUAACUGCUGUUUAUAGAGAAACGUGAGAAUAUUACUUAACAUAUUUAAAAAUGAAGUCUAUUUUUUUAAAUAAAAUAAUAUUAUGAUUUUUAUAUAUUAUUAUAUGUCUUUUUACUUCUCUGAGAAAUAUUUAUAACGGUUAGAGAAGGGAAUAUGAUUCGUCAAUUUAACUCCGACUAUCCAUUCAGUAAACAUUUAUGAAUUUUGAAGGAAUGUGCGAUCAAUUGAGUCAGACGACUAAAUAUAGAUUUAGACUAAGUGAAUAUGUUUUAAAAAAGUGAGAAAAUUUUAAAUGUAUUAUUUUGAUAAUAGAAUUGUUUUUCUUUUAUUUCAAAAGUCUUAUCUUUAGAGUUUUGGCCAUGGGAAACCUUACCUUCAUUGUUCUUACUAUAGAGGUAUGGCUGAGGGAGGUUUUAUAUUGAUGAUCUUUUUUCAGAAGAUCUGAUCUUGGUAGUUUGGUUAUGAGUGGUCUUACUUUUGAAUAUCUUACUUUGAAGGUCUGAUUUAUAUUUCUUUCUGACCUUAGAGGUCUUCCCUUCCUUAAAAGAGGUCUUUUCUUCUGACCUUAGAGGUUUUCCUUUCCUUAGAAGAGGUCUUUCCUUCUGACCUUGACUUUUUUUUUUAAAAUAGGGAUUGGAGACUGGGAGAGUAGAAUCUGAAAUCUCUCAGAUUUACUCAGAUGCACUUACCACCAGGCUAAGCCUGUGAGUGCCUUUUGAACUGACUUUAGAGGUCUUCACUUGUCUUCCCUUCCUUAGAAGAGGUCUUACCUUCCGACCUGAUCUUAGAGGUCUUUCCUUUCUUAGAGGUCUUUCCUUCUUUAGAAGAGGUCUUACCUUCCGACUUGACCUUAUAACUCUUCCCUUCCUUAGAAGAGAUUUUUCCUUCUGACCUUAGAGGUCUUCCUUUCUUUAGAAGAGGUCUUUCCUUCUCGAGGGAGGUCUUUCACUUUGAGGAAUACCUUCUCUUUUGGUGUUUUUAAUUUUAAAUUAAAUUUUAAGCAGUUGUAUGAGGUUUUUUUUAGACCUAUAAAUCUCUCAUAUAAUAAUUUUUUUAUAGGAUCUAUUGGUCUUAUUUUAUAUUUUGAGUUCUUUCAUUGAAUUUUUUCUAGACUUGUUGAUCUUAAACUUUAUUGAGAGCGAAGUGAUGCCCCUUACUUCAAGUAUGAAAUUUUAUAUAAUGUCUUGAAGUAAUAUGUUAUUUCAUAUAUUUUUCUAAUAUGCUAUUUUAUAUAUUUUUCUUCUUCUUCUCUCUCUUCUUUUUUUAUUUUUAUUUUUUUGAGGUUCUAACCUUGUUAUCUUUCGUGCAUUUUAGCUUCAGUCAGUCUUUCGAGCUUUUUAGCCCUUCACCGAGUACCUUUGGUCCUCAGUUGUUUUUUGGGUUUUUUUUUUAUUUUUUACUCUUGGUCUACUUCUGAGUAUUUCUACUCUUAUACUUCUUCUGGACUUUUUAUCCCUAGUCUAUUUCUAAGCAUUUUUGUUCUGGAGCGCCUUCUGAACACUUAGUUUUGAGUUUGCUUCUUGAACUAUUUGCUUCUUGAAAUUCAGACCCAUGAUUUUACUGAUAAUUUUCGAGAUUUAGACUCGUGACCUUACUGGCGAUUUUCAGACUUAAUAGCCUUUCUCUUGUUUUUUUAAAAUUUAUCUGCAAAAUAAAAAUUUAUACGAUGCAUACAUAACGAGAAUACUUAUUGUAAAUUUAAUAAUAUUUAUUAAUAAAUAAUACAUUAUACAUGAUAUUCAAUUUCAUAUUUUCAGAUAAAUAUAAAUGUUAGUUUUUUUUUUUUUUGAAAUAGGGGUUGGGGGAAUCGAAUCUUAGACCUCUCAAGUCUAUCAGGAUGCACUUUCCACCAGUCUAAGUCUCGGAGUGCAUAUAAAUGUUAGUUUUCACUGAUAAAAUUAACUAAUAUAUAUAAUUUAAGGUCUCUAAAGAAAAAUAUUUUGUGUAUAUAAUUUUUUUAACAAAUUUUUUAAUUCGUAACGCAAUACUUUUAUAUAUAUAUAUUUAGAAUAUUUAUGCUAAACUUAAUUAAUAAUAAAAACUUCCAUGCUAAGCUAAUAUUUUGAGUAUAAUGUGUCCUACAUUUAUAUGUAUUUGUGUUUACAAAUAAAUAUGAGAAAAUCCAUAGCAUUACAAGAGAAAGAGAAAGAUGAAUAUAAAAUUUUAAUAUUAAAAAAAUAAUUCUACUGCUUAAAAUGAAUAUAUUAUUUAACCUAGUUAUAUUUAAAUUUAUACGGUUAUCUUCGAUUAAUUUUAGAAAUUAAAUUAAUUUAAACACUUUAAUAAUAAUUCAUUCAUGUUCCAUGUGCAAAAAUUGAAUUUUACCUUUGAUUUUAUUUUAAACUAGUGACUCAAUGCUUUAAGUUUUGAGUUAAACAUGCAUCUGCACCUGUUAGAUAAUCAAUGCAUGGCCUUAUUAUGGACCUUUGAUCUUAUCAGGGCAUUCUAAAGCAUUAUUAAAACAAAUAAAUGUAACGAUUGUGUACAGGGCCCUAUAGCAUGGCAACACGUGUUGUGGUAAUUAAAAUGGGCACUUGUCGAUUCUUGACCUUUGUCAGGACCCAUUUUACAUUUGCAAUUUACGACUGCCAGGUGGGUUUUAUGAGGUCGGCCAGUCCGACAAAAUAGAUUUAGUAUUUAUUUUCACAUGUAUUAAAAAUAUAAUUAAUAUUAUUUAAACAACAAUUUUUUAAUUAUUUUUUCUAAUAUAUCUUCACUAGUAUUGUUUUAUUAUUAAAUUAUUUUUAAAAUUAAUAAAUUUUAAUUUUUCAACAUAUAUUGUGAAAAUAUAUUAAAAAAUUAAUAAAUAAGUUAUUAUAUUAAAAAACAUAACUUGUAAUUAAAAAUAGAUUAAAAUUAAAAUAAAUCCAUCGAUUUACUCUAUAAAUAUAGAUAACCGGAUGUAAAUAUAUAAAAUAAGAAAAUAUUAUAUUGAUUGGAUAUGAGCAACCUCUCCGGAUCUAAAAAUAUAUUUUCUGAAAAAUAGUUAAGAUUGAUAAUGUAUAUGAGAUAUUUUUUUCUUUGACUUUAAGUUGGUGGUGUUUUAUUAAAACUGUAAUUUCUUUACUCUAUUGCCAUCCAUUUUAAUCUUAACUCUUUCAGUUAUAUUAAAAUUUUUCUCUUCAUUAGAAAAUUUCUUUUUCUUGUGAGAGUUAGAGUCCUGAUUAAAUUGAGUUUUAUGAGAGUGGUUUUCGAAUUUAGGAGCCAAUUUGAUAGGCUUUGGCAUUAUAGCCAAAGUCUAUUUCAGUUUUGGAGCACAUCAAAUUGGCUCCUUACGCAGACUAUCAUACAACUCAAUUUAAUGAGGACUUUAACUCCUAUAAGGAAAACGAAAUACCUAGUAAAAAAGAGAUUCUUAGUACAACUUAAAGAGUUGUUUAAUAGAUAAACGAAUUCUACUCCUAAUAAGAUACCACCAAUUCAGAAAGGUGUUUCCUUAUUUCGCAUAUUCAUAUUUGAUACUAUAUAACCAUAAAAAAAGCCAGAGCAUUUAUCUCAAUAGUUUAUGUUGAGUUUCAAUUGAAUUAAACACAGCGAAAAAAAUAAAAAAAUAAAAUUUUCACCAAAAUGAAUCACAUUUAAAUGAAGAAAGCAAUAAUAUUUAAAGAUAAAAUAAAUAUCUUUUAUUUUCUUUAACAAAAUAUGAGAUCAUUCAUUUUGGUUGGGUUAUCGCAAACCAUAAAUUGUCUAAUUGUUCAGUCUUUAACAAUAUUCAUACAGAAUAGUAAUCGAAAAAUUUUAGAAUAAUUUUAAGAGAUCGAGAAGGAGAGAAGUUUAGAGCUGGAUUUCUUACAAAUUCUAGAGGCUCUCAUGAGAGGUUUAUGCCAAACGUUACUUUACACUCUUAUAAGAUGCUCUUUUAUACUAAAAUCCUAGGAUUGCAGUAUAAUAGUAUUUAUUUAUUUAACUAAUUAAAUAAAUAAAGUGAGAUUUAUAAUUUAGUCCCUGUGUAUUGUUAUUAUUAACAAGUUAGUCCCUAUAUUUUUAGAAACCUAUUAAAACUUGCUUAUAUUUUCUUUCCGUCAACGAAAUAGUUAUUCUGUUCUUUUUUUCCGUUAAAAAUAUAUAAAGGAUGAGUGAGAAAAUUUUUAAAAUCCAAUUUUACCCCAAAAUAAAACCCCUUAUUUAGUCUUUGGAUAUUGCUAUUAUUAACAAGUCAGUCUCUAUAUUUUUAGAAAUCUAUUAAAAUGUCCUUAUCUUUUCUCAUAUCUAUUAAAAUGUCCUUAUCGUUUCUUUCCGUCAACGAAAUAGUCCCUCUUCCUCCUCCUUAAAAAAGAAGAUAAAGAAGAAAAAGAAGAUAAUGAUGAAGGAGAAGAAGAAGAAGAAGAAGAAGAAGAAGAUGAUGAUGAUGAUGAAGAAGAAAAAGAAAAAGAAGAAGAAGAAAAAUCUCCUCCUCCUCCUCCUCCUCUUCCUUACAGAAGAAGAAUAAAAAGAAAAAUCAAAGAAGAAUCAAAGAAGAAGAAGAAAAAGAACCAAAGAAGAAGAAGAGGAGGAGGAAGAAUCAAUGAAGAAGAAGAAGAAGAAGAAGGAGGAGUAGGAGGAAGAAGAAAAGGGGGGUAAAUUGGUCUUUUGCUAUAUUUUUAACAACAGAAAUAGACGGAAGGACUAUUUUGUUGACGGAGAGAAAAUAUAAGGACAUAUUAAUAGGUUUCUGAAAAUGCAGGGACUAACUUGUUAAUAAUGGUAAUACUUAGGGACUAAAUUGUAAAUCUUCCAUAAAUAAAUUAUAAUAAUAGGCCAGAAUAUUAGUAAGUAAGCCAUAUAAAUCUUAGAUGAUUUUAGUUAGAUCAAAAUCGUAAUUUUUUCAAAUUAUAAUUUUAUUUCAAUGUCAAUUUAUAUGCAAUAAAGCUCUAUUUGAUUUAACUUAUCGUUUUAUUUUCUCUUACAAUUCUUUAUGUAUGUGACCUAUUAGAUUCUAAAUAUAUUGAUAAUAAAUAUAAUUAACUAAUUAAUUAAUUUGAAAGUCAAGAAUAUGUUAAGACUAUCCAAAUAUUUAUAAUGCCAAAAGUAGUUUGACUUAACCUUUCAGUGCAUAGUUUGUUAGUGUAAUUAAUAUCAUUUAAUCACAAAUGUCCCAAUUUAAUAUUUAAUACAUAGAAUAUGUCUAUAAUAUUAAAUUAUAUUAGUUUAAUAUAAUACCCGGCUAGACUCCGGCAUCGAAAUUCCUACCUUCCGGCGGAAUCUCUGUUGGAAUCCGAGAUUCACGAAUGUCAGAGCCUUCUAGAAGGAUAAAAUAAAGGUUUUCUAAAAUGCUUUUAUAUGUUUUAUGGUUUUAAUCAAAUGAUACAAGUCUUGGAUAAGAAUCUACAACGCACUAGAACGCCAAAGAAAGAAAUUGAGUUUUGAAAGAAAAGACCAAGGAGGGAGAAAGCCAGGUUCGGCCGCUGAACUUGGUGCUCUUGCGGAAGCACCUUUGGCCCCCGAAGGUGGUCUGGCCAGCCACCUAUAAAAGGCCCCCUGUCCGAAAAUGAGCGAGUUUUUCUCUCCAUUUUCGGGUAAAGGUGAGUUCUUGACCAUCCAUGGUUGAUUUUACGUCUUCCUUCAAAUCUCUCAGAGUUUUUAUGAGUUUUUACUAUGUUUUGAAGAUUUUAAGCUAAAGAUCAAAGUUUUGAAGUUUGGGGACCCCCGGAGCUCGAUUUCUCCCAAUCUCCAAGUUUGGAUAACAUCUCCUCUCGAUCUUCAAGAGGUAAGUGUAGAUCCACGACUUUUAUGAUGUUUUAAGUAAGUUUUAAGAAGGGGUUAAGGGUUUUGAUGCAUGUUUAGAGUAGGUGAAAAAUGUUAGGGUUUAUGUUAGUUUAAUGGUAAAUGUUUGUUAAUGUAAUGUUUGUUGGGGUUUAGGCUAGUUUUAUGCCCCUAUAUACUUGAUGAUGUGUUUAUGCAUGCUUUUGAGUGUUGAGUAUGAGUUUGGAGGGUUUUGGGAGGUUAGAUGAGAAGAGACGAAUUGAGUUCUGCCAUUCUGGAGAACCCAGGUUCGGCCGCCGAAGCCAUGUUUGGCCUCCGAACCUGCCUGUAAAGGCAGCUUUAGGCCGUCUAAACUCGCUCCCGAAAGUUGGACUUUCGGCUCUAGAGGGGAGUUUUGGCCGCCGAACCUGCCUCGGAAGGUUAGUGACUUUCGAAUCUGGAGGGAGUUUCGGCCGUCGAACUUGCCGUCGAAAGUCCCCUGUCCAGCCUUCCUUUGCCUGUUUUGCAUGCAUGUUUUAUGAUGUUUUAGGGGGAUUUUUGGAGAAUUGUUUAGAGUCAUUGAUCAAGCAUAAUUUAGCCAUAUUUUUAUUAUAUUUAUCAUUGCUUAUUUACACAUUUUUUAGCUUAAUUUAUGGUUUUCACUUUGUUUUUACAGAAAAGAAAGAAAUUGGAAAACUAGAGAAAAAAAAGUGCAGAAAAUGACAGAAAAGUGAUUGGAUCAAUGAUUUGCGAAAUCACUGCCCAAAUCAAGCAGAAACAGAAAGCUGAAAACUGGACUGAUUCACAGGAAGCGAUCGGGGUAGCGAUCUGCCCAAAUCACCGCCCUGAUCACACUGACAGCAGGAAUUGACAGCAGAAGCGGGAAAAGAGCAGAAAAUCCAAAUUCAAAGAAAAGAAGUCCAAAUCCACUUCAAACACCACAAGAUCAGUCCCAAGAGCCACGCCCUUCACUUAGAGAGUUUCAUUCUCAAUCAAAUACAAAAUCCAAAGAGGAAUCAAAUACUACAAAGAAGACCAAAUCAAAUUGAGAUUUCAAAACCUAAUCAAAUUGGAAUUGAGAUUCUCCAGCUAUAUAAGGGCAGUAUCCAAACCAGCAAAGGGGCAUCUCUCAUCUUCAGCAAUUCUGCAGAAAACACAGCAGCUUGUUCUCUUCUUUCUUUUCUUCUUUUCUUUUGUGAUUUUGUCCACCAUGAGUGACUAAAUCCAUCCUUUCUAGUUGAAGUUGGAAAAUUCAGAUUUGUGAUGAAUUGGGAGAUUUAAAUCUCCAUUGUUAAACUUCUAUUUAUUUUCAAUAUUUAUGCAAUUUGAUCUUUCUAUAAUUGUUUCUUUGCUUUUAGAAUCAAUUUAGGCCUAUUGCUUUUAAUUGCUUGAGUAACAAUUGUUUGAAUAAUUUAGGUCCGUAAUUGCUUAGAUUAUUUAAACACACAUUUAAUCAAGUUGCAUAAUCUAAACUUGACCACGCGAUUGGCAAGGUUAGAAUUAGGUUUCUCUAAGUCUUAAUGCAGUUAACAGUUGUUCGAUGCUAAAAGCCCCAAGGACGUUCCUUGGCAAUUUGUUAACUAGUGUUUGAUUAGCGAACGUUUCCUAAUCAAACUAGAACUAAGGAGGAAUUUGGAUUGUGAGAAGCGUCUUCCACAUCCUAAACUAAUUUAUUGAAAUAAAUAGGAGUGUUAAAGAAUCAAUGAUCAAUUCUAAACAAACUGAAAUAGAUCCAUUCUUCAACUAGAAUUCUUCUCCUAUUGAAAUUCUCAUCUAUUUAAAUUAUUGCCUUCUCUUGCUAUUUAGUUUUAAUCAUCAAAACAAAACCCCCCUCUUUUAAUUUCUUGUUAUUUACUUGUCCAAGUCAUUAUUAGGAAAAUCUUUAGUGUCAAAUCCCUGUGGUUCGACCCUAUUGCCAUUAUCUACAAGUUAAUUGUUGAUUGUUUAAUAGGUUUAUUUUUUACGGCUUCGACAACCGCUGUAACGACCCGGAAAUCCGACCCGUUACCGGCGCUAGGAUCCAGGUCGGCUUAAGGCCGUCGGGACCCGUAGCAAGCCUACAUACCUCCUGUAAACCUGUGGAAUCCCAUACAUAACAACAUAUACAUGAUCUGUAAAAAAUUUUUCUUUUCUCUUAUCCAAGCAAAACCUGUGCAUGCACAAAAUCAUACAUAAACCCCACACUGGAGUCCUCAUCAAAAUACUCCAAUGGGGUAUCAUCAUCAUACAUAUCAGCUUGGAUAAUCAUGGUCAUUAACAUCAUUACUCAUUAAACACUCUGUACAUAAUGGGGAUUCACACACCUCUAGGUCAAGCACUACUAUAAUCCUCAAUACAUCAUCAAAUCAUUCAUUACAUUACAUGGUCAUAAAUACUCGUUACAUCAUGUUCAUGUCCACUACUAUCUAUUACAACAUACAUGACUUAACUUCACUCUAGCCGACUUCCCGAUCUAUCCUGUACCUGCAACUCUGGGGAUAAAGGGAGUGGGGUGAGCUACUAGAGCCCAGUGAGCAGAAUAAUAAAAUAUCAAUUUAAAUCAUGCUUUCAUGUAUGCGCCAUAACACAAACAUUUCACAACAAGGAUGAACUUGUCACCAUUUAGCCCCUAUCUUUCUUACUUAUACAUGCCGGGGGCGUAGAGCCGUAGCAGGCACACCCGGACUACCAUAAUCAAUCAUAGUGCCAGGGGCGUAGAGCCGUAGCAGGCACACCUGGACUCACAUAGGCUAUCAUGACAUAAAAGGGCUAAUGGAUCAUUCAACAUUCAUCCACAUCAACAACAAGGUAUGCAAUGCAACAUAUUCGUGAAUUCUAAUGCAAUCAACCUGAUAUAUCUCAUGGCAUUCAUGAUGCGUGAAUCAUGCUAAAACAUUUCAUUAAUUUGCUUUAAAACUUAAAGUUUAUUCCACUCACCUCUGGCUAGCUCUGAAGAGACUCUGAAGCAGCUGGCUCACUGCUGGGGGUCUCGGUUCCUCAGGUCCGAACCUACACAGGUGGACUCAAAUGAGGGACCAAACAUACCUGAAUAUGACUCUAAAAUACUCCCCAAAAACCCCCUAAAACAUCCUGAAAACAUCACAUGAAAACAUGCAAGAAAUGGCUGAACAGGGCACUUUCGGCGGCAGGUUCGGCGGCCGAAAGUCCCACUGCAGCCGAAAGUCAUGCAGGUUCGGCGGCACUUUCGGCGGCCGAACCUCCCAGACAGAGACGAAACUUGAGUUUCGGGGGCAGGCUUCGGCAGCCGAAACUGCCUUCACAAGGGGGUUCGGCGGCCGAAAGUCACUUCGGCGGCCGAACCUGAGUUUCUGCCGAAGGGCAGAAACUUGGCUUCCUUGUGUCCACAGCCUCCAAAACACCUCAAAACAUGCAUAAACUUGUUUCUACACAUGCAUACACAUCAUGCAUCACACCUAGGGGUCACAAACUAUACUAUACCCCAACUACAACACUUCAAACAACACAUUUCCAACAUACAUUGUUCAAAUCACAUCAUAAACCCAUAAACCUAACAACAAGCCUAAACAUGCAUUCUACCCCAUCAACUUGCAUAAAACUUUCAUAAAACAUAAAAGAAGCAUAGAUCGAAGCUUACCUCUUGAAGAUCGAGAGGAAGAACGACCCUAGCUCGGAAAAUGGAGGGAUUUAGCUCCAAGACUUCCAAGCUCCAAAACUUGUUUCAAAAGCUUAAAUCUUCAAAACCAAGGGAAAACAAGUGAAAAUCUUGAAAGAUUUAGAGGAAGAACAUCAAAAAUGGGUGAGGGGCGGCGGAAAGCUCACCUUGGCCGAAAAUGGGGAAAAACUCGCCCGUUUUCGGCUAAGGGACCCUUUUAUAGUGGCUGGCCAGACCACGUUCGAGGGCCGAAAGUGCCUCCGCAUGCAUGCAAGGUUCGGCGGUCGAACAUGAGGUUCGGCGGCCGAACUUGGACUUCCCUCACUCAUGCUUUCGGGGGCCUAACGUGCCUCCAAAACACAUGCAUGUUCGGCGGCCGAACUUGAUUUUCGGCGGCCGAACCUGGGUUUUUCCUCCAAAGACUUUUCAUGUAAAAAUUCAUUUAAUUUCUUACUUAAAACAUGAAAUACAUGAAAACAUUUCAUAAAAUCAUAGUUUUUACCCUUCUAGAGGUUUCCGACAUCCGAGGUCCCACCAGACGGUAGGGAUUCCGAUACCGGAGUCUAGCCGGGUAUUACAACCGCUAUCAGUCAUGUUAGAGUUUGUUUGGUCCCUCAUUUGAGUCCACCUGUGUAAGAUUGGACCCGAGGAACCGAGGAGGCCAGCAAUGUUAGCUGUUUCAGAGUCAGCUAUAGGUGAGUAGAAUAUAACUCUUUUAUUUCAAACCAAAUAAACUUUUAAGCAUGUUCAUGCAUCAUAAAUGCCAUGUAUGUAAUAGGUUGUAGUGCAUUAGAACUCAGGAAUAUAACGCAUUGCUGAUCAAACAUAAUUUAGCCACAUUUCUAUUAUCUUUAUUAUUGCUUAAAUACAUAUUUUUCAGCUUAAUUUAUGGUUUUUGUUAUAUUUUUGCAGGAAAGGAAGAAAAUGGAAAGUUGGAGAAAAAGUGCAGGAGAAGCUGGAAAAGUGAUUGGGUCAGAGUGAUUUGGCCAAAUCAAGCAAAGGAAGCUGAGGCAGAAACCUGGAAGUAAAUUCGCAGAAAUAAUUUGGGCAAGUGAUCUGCCCAAAUCACCCGCCCAAAUCACAUUGACGCAGAGAGACAGCAAAAGCGGAAAAAGUGCAGAAAACUGAAAUUCAAAAGUGGAGAAGUCCAAAUCCAUUUUAAAUACUGUAAGAUCAGUCCCAAGAGCCACGAGAAAGUCUUUCACUUAAAGAAUUCCAUUCACAAUUAAAUACAAAAAAUAAAAGAGGAAUCAAAGACUACAAAGAAGACCAAGUCAAGAUUGGGAUUUCCAAACCCUAAUUGGAUAAGGAUUCUCCAGCUAUAAAAAGGGAUAGCAUCUAAACUAGCAGGAUCAUCUCAGCAGUCUCGAAAAUUCUGCAGAAACUUAGCAAAAGCACAGCGGCCUCUUCUCCUAUUUUUUUUCUUUUCUUUUUGUGUAUUUUGUCCACCAUGAGUGGCUAAACACUUUUCAUUUCUAGUUGAAAUUGGAAAUUUCAUAUUUGUGAUGAAUUGGGAGAUUUAAUACUACAUUAUUAAACUCUUGUUUAUUUUCAAUAUUUAUGCAACUUGAUCUUUCUAUACUUAUUGCUUUACUUUUAAAAUCAAUUAAGGCUUGUUGCUUAUAAUUGCUUAAGUAAUAUAUUGUUUGAAUAAUUUAGGUCCGUAAUUGCUUAGGUUAUUUAAUCACAAGUAUAAUCAGUUGCAUAAUCUAAACUUGACCAUGCAGUUGACAAAGUUAGAGUUGGGUUUCUUUAAGUCCUAAUGCAGUUAACAGUUGUUCGAUGCUAAAAGCCCCAAGGACGUUCCUUGGCAACUUGUUAGCUAGAGUUCAAUUAGCGAACGUUUCCUAAUCAAACUAAAAUUAAGGAGGAAUUUGGAUUGUGAGAAGCGUCUUCCACGUCCUAAACUAACUUAUUGAAAUAAAUAAGACUAUCAAAAAGUUAAUGAUCAAUUCUAAACAAACUAAAAUUCAUCCAUGCUUCAACUAUAAUCCUUUUCCCAUUGAAAUUCUUAUCUUUUAAAUUAUUGCUUUAUCUUACUAUUUAGUUUUAAUUCAUUAUCAUCAAAUCAAACCCCCUCUCUUAUUUACUUUUGUUAUUUGUCCAAAUCAUUAAUAGAAAAAUUCGUAGUGUCAAAUCUCUGUGAUUCGACCCUAUUGCCACUGUCUACAAGUUAAUUAUUGAUUGAUUAAUAGGUUUAUUUUUUACGGCUUCGACAACCGCUAUCAAUUGCAUAAUAUGAUGUUGAUGUGGAUGGAUGUUGGAUGACCCAUUGGCCCUUGUAAUGAUAUGAUAUGAUAUAGUAUGGAAGUCCAGGUCGAGGCCCAUUCUACGCUCCUGGCACAGAGUAAAAGAAAUUUCAGAUCGAGGCCCAUUCUGUAACAGCCCGGAAACCGAACUGCUACCGGCACUAGGAUCCAGAUCAACUUAAGGUCGCCGGGACCCGUAGUAAGCCUGCUAUCCUGUCUGUGUACCUGUGAAAUCCCAUACAUGAUCAUACUUUUUCUGUCAAACUAUUAAAACUGUUCUGUCCUCCAGGGCUUAACCUGUGCAUGCACUGUUUCUGCUCUCUCUUAUCCGUCUCUAAGCGGAUAAACUCAUAAUGUUAAGCCUGGUUUUCUCAUAUACAUCAACAAGAAAAGAUACAUACAUAUAAAAACUGAUCAUGUAUACAUAACUGGGGAUCACUCUAAUGAAUCAAGCACAAGUCUAUACAUCUUAUUACAUAACUACAAUCUCUUUACAUAUACAUGUCCACACUAGCUAUUACAUAUCUCUUCUUCCAUACCUUGCUGAACUCCCUCUGGACUCUGAACCUGCAAACCUGGGGAAUAGGGGAGAGGGAUGAGCUAUACAAGCCCAAUGAGUAGAACUAUAAAACAUGAUCUCAUGGAAUGCACCACAUCACAGACAUUUCAUCUCAAGGAUAGACAUGACCACCAAAAUUCCCACUGGGAGGAUGCCUGGCCUAGCCAGGUCUUACAUCCUCAAUUUGCCUGGCCCUGCCAGGUCUUACAAACUCUGCUCGCCUGGCCCAGCCAGGUCUUACAAUAAUCUGCUGCCUGGCCUAGCCAGGUCUUACCUACAGAAGGCUGCCUGGCCCGGCCAGGUCUUACACAGAGCUAGGGCUAUUGGGGUCGCCUUGGUCCAUCCAUCUCAUCAUAUACAUCGUAUUAUACAAUGCAAUGCGCCAUAUUCGUGAAACUAGUGCAAGCAACCUACUAUAGUCAUCAUGAUGCAUGCCACAUGCUAAAAGCAUUUUAGGUCUGAAAAGAGAAGUUCCACUCACCUCUGGCUGACUCUGGACUACCUCUGCAGGUUCUGAACCUGUGCUCACUGCUGACUUCCCUGAUUCCUCUGGUCCGUUCCUACACAGUUGGACUCAAAUGAGGGACCAAACGAACUCAAGAACCGCUCUAAGAAACUCCCCAAAAGCCCGCUAAAAGAUCCUAAAACAAUCACAUAAAACAUGCAAAAGAAAGCUGGACAGGGCACUUUCGGCGGCAUGUUCGGCGGCCGAAACCCCUCUCCAGAGACGAAACUCAUGCAUGUUCGGCGGCACCUUCGGCAGCCGAAAGGCUCGUCCAGAGACGAACCUCAACCUUCGGCGGCCGAACCUUGCCUCCAGAGACGAAAGUCCAAAUGUUCGGGGGCAAGCUUUGGCAGCCGAAACUGCCUCCACAAGGGGUUCGGCGGCCGAACCUGGCUUUGUCCAGUGGACAGAACCCUGCUCUGUUUCAUGCAAAUCUCCCCCAAAAUUUACCCAACAUGCAUAGCAACUACUCCCAACUAACACAUACCAUAUAACAUGCAUAAAGAGGUCCAAAACUCUCCUAAAACCUCAACCAAACACAUCAAACAACACUUAACAUGCUUGUACAUAAACAUCUCCCAUAAACCUCACCUAAACCUAAUCAUGCAUACUACCCAUCCAACUCCCAUAAAACCUUCAAAACUCAUCAAAGAAGUUCAGGAUCAACCCUUACCUCCUAAAAAACUUGAGGAUGAGGGAUCCUAACGUGGAGAUAGGGAGAAAACCUCUUCCAAAGCUCCAAGCUUCAAAACUUACUCUUUUUGCUCCAAACCUUCAAAACACACCAAAACACUUAAAACCCUUGGAAGAUGUGGUGAAAAACAUGAAAAACAUGAAAGUCAACUUGGGAGAGGCUUGAACGCACCUCUGGCUGCAAGUGGAGGAGAAAUAUCCUCCUUCCACCGACCCUUGGCCCUUUUAUAGGUGGCUGGCCAGACCACCUUCGGCAGCCGAACGUGAAUCCAAAACCAUGCAAUGUUCGGCGGCCGAAAGUGACCUUCGGUGGCCGAACCUUUGCAUUUCUCCCUUGUUGCUUUUCUUUCAAAACUCAUUUCCUUUAACACUUUAAAACAUUCAAAACCCUUAAAAACACACAUGAAAACAUAUGUCUUACCCUUCUCGAGGGUUCCGACACUCGAGAUUCCACCGGUCUACAGAAAUUCCGAUGCCGGACUCAAGCCGGGUAUUACACAUUCUAUACCCCUGGCACGAUUGGAUAUGUAGAGGGUCAUUGGUGACAAGUGUAUCCUUUAUGUAAAUUGUUUGUGAUGUGAUGCAUUUCAUGAUGGCAUAUGUUUAAUGAACUGUUUUUACCGUUCUGCUCACUGGGUUUUAGUAGCUCACCCCUUUCCCCUCACCCCCAGGUUUGCAAGGUCAGAGAUAGCUCAGGGAGUCAGCAAGGGUAAUGGCUAUGGCUAUGUAAUGUAAUAGUCUAGUAGUGGACAUGAAAUAUAAAAUGAUAUAAGUAAUGUAGAGAAAUAUUUCAUGUAUGGUUAAUCCCUUUUGGUACAUGAUCUUUAUGAAAGGUUUUAAUGAUGAGAUAUGUUGAACCAAACUUGAUGUAUGUAAUGUAGAGAAAUGUUUCAUGGUUUAGUUUUGUGCUUGGCUCUAAUGUAUGGUUAAUCCCUUUUGGUACAUGAUCUUUAUGAAAGGUUUUAAUGAUGAGAUAUGUUGAACCAAACUUAAUGUAUGUUAUGUUGACGCAUUAAGGGCUCUAGUAAGGGGUUUUUAUGUUUACAGUUAUGGUGCAUGCACAGGUCAAACUUGAUAUAUGAAAAGUUUAAAGUUUUUAUGAAAAUGUAUGAUCAUGUAUGGAAUUUUAUCAGGUACACAGGGUGCAUAGUAGGCUUGCUACGGGUCCCGGCGACUUUAAGUUGAUCUGGAUCCUAGCACCGGUAGCGGUUCCAAACCUCAUUUGCUAAUUUCAUUCCACAUUGCAUAGGAAUUUUAUGAUCAAUACUAGUAGAGAACAAAUGAGACAUUUCCUAAUUUAACCUUGAGUGAUGUAUCAUAUUUCAAUCACAUAAAUAUACCUUCAUAUAGUUUUUAAUAUAUCGAAUUCAUCCUCAUUUGUUACUCAAUAAACCAAGCAACGUGUAAGAUAAAUCAAUACACAAAAGCCCCUGUAUAAGAUUAUUUAUUGAUUUUAAAUUGAAAGGUCAUUUACACAACUAUCACUUGCGUAAUCCAUAGACAUAGGUUGUUUUCCGUAUGAAUUUCUCAGACGAGUCAGUUCAGUGUACUUAUUUAUAAAAUAAAUACCUACAUAUUUCAGUUUAUGAGAUCAGUUGUUUUCUCUAAAAAAAACAUAAUAUAUACUAAUUUUAACAAUUUUAAUUAUUAUUCAAUCAUAAUAAAAAUAUCGAUUAGAAACAUUUAAAGAUAUUAUUUAAAUGUAUUUGAAAUUUAAUAAUUUUUUUUAAAUAUUUAGAAUCUAAUAAUUAUAAACGCGUUAUAAUUUACUUUGCAUUUGCAUGGUAAUAUAGUUUCAUAAACUUUAUUUUUACUCGAUAUUCAAUUAAAUUAACACUAAAAAUAAAUAAUUUCCUUAAUAAAAUUAUAUUUAAAUACUUAAAAUACAUAAAUAAUAAUAUUUAACUAUAAUUAAUAAAUUUAUUGUAGAGUAUAUUAUUAACAAUUUAUUAAUAACCAUUUGGCGUAGUGCUAAAGUCCACUUUGUUCUCAAACAGAUAAUUUAAGUUUAAUAAUAUGAGAAGGUAUCGAUGGAAAUGUAGUCUUUUUAUGAAUCUUAAAACAUCCCAUAUUCUGUUCAUUUUUUUAUCAGUAAAAUAAUUUUGUUAAUUAUAGUAGCGAGAACUCAUCAAUUUAAUUUUACCUUAGUGUAUAUAUAAUUAAACUUUGAAAGAUUUCAGAUUUAAAAAGAUUAUAGCAGUGAAAACUUUUUUAUAUUAUUUGUAAAUCAGUAAUAUCCAACAAAUUGGCUUUCAGCCACAAUCUCAAUUUAAGUUUUGCUUUCUCAUAUAUAUUUUCUUUUAUAUUAAUCGUUAAUUAUUAUCCUUGAAAUUUUGCAAUUCAUUUAUGUUUAAACUAUCUUAUUAUUGUUAAUGAUUAAUUUCUUUUUAUUCAAUUUACUUUUUUUUAUUGAAUUACUAAUAUUUUCAGUUGCAAUUUAAUUCGAGAGUAUUCUUAGAAUAUUCAAGCAUCUUUUUAGUUAAAAUUUCAAUUAUCCUACUGUUAAUGUGAUAUUAUUCCACAUGAAUGAUUCUCAUCUAUUAGAUCAGAAGCCUAAUUAGCUUGGAAGGACAGAUAGCGAAGAAAGUUUGGUGGGUAUAUGCACACAAUGCACGAAGGUAACUGCCAAUCAUGAAAUCUUCUACAGUGUUAUUUAUUUAUUUUUGGGAGNNNNNNNNUAUUAAGUGUCUGAAUUCUGACCAAAUUUUACAUGUUCUAUAAAUUGCCGUAUAGCAGAAGCAACGAUUAACUUUUCUCGGUGACUCGAAAACGGAAAAAAAAAAUAGUGAAUUUCGCCGUGCUCGGUGGAGCAUCAGUCUCCAGCUUUAUGUAGUCAUUGGUUUUAUCUCCCAUUCGAUAGGAGAAAUAAUCAUCAGAGACAAAAGGACGUGAUCGGAGAAAUGGGAAGGGCUCCCUGUUGCUCCAAGGUAGGGUUGCAUAGAGGACCAUGGACUCCUAGAGAAGACACAUUGCUCAUUAAAUAUAUUCAAUCUCGUGGAGAAGGCAACUGGAGGUCUUUGCCUAAGAAAGCUGGUAUGUUUUAUCUCAAUGGCCACCCCUAUUCUUCAUUCUCUUUAUAAUUUUAUUACAUAUAUAGUUGAUACUUGUGUAAUGAGUUUCUGUGUGAUGAAGGUUUGCUCAGAUGUGGAAAAAGCUGUAGGCUAAGAUGGAUGAAUUAUCUAAGACCAGACAUCAAGAGAGGGAACAUCACUCCUGAUGAGGAUGAUCUUAUAAUCAGAAUGCAUUCGCUGCUUGGAAAUCGAUGGUCUCUGAUCGCCGGAAGGCUUCCAGGUCGAACUGAUAAUGAGAUCAAGAAUUAUUGGAAUACCCAUCUAAGCAAGAGACUUAGAAGCCAAGGAACUGAUCCUAAUACUCAUAAGAAAUUGGCAGAGACAGUUCAACAACAAGGGAAGAAGAAGAAGAAAAAUAAUAAUAACACUUCCAGAAACAGUAAAAACAAGAAUAAUAAAGCCAAAGUAGAGCUUGAAAAGGCCAAGGUGAUCCAUCUCCCCAGGCCUGUUAGGUUUUCUUCUUUAUCUUUACUAAGAAAUGACAGUUUUGAGUGCAAUACUAGUUUGUCUUCAUGCCAAGGAGGAGAGGGUGAGGGUGAGGGUGGUUUAAGUGCAGAAGCUGUCACUGAGAAUCCUUGGUGUAGUUUCAAGUAUGAUCAUGAUGAUGGGAUUAGCUUUCUUGUUGGUGAUGUUGAUCAUGAUAUCGUCAACGGCCCAGAUCUUGGAUGCGUACCUGCAUCAAACGCAAAUCUAGAGAAGCUGUAUGAAGAGUAUCUGCAGCUCCUGAAGACGGAUGAUGAUCAUGGAAAAUUAGAUUACUCUUUUGCAGAAUCACUAUCGCUAUGAGAGUGUCAAGUAGGGCUUAUCAAACUUUAAGAAGAGUCAAUGUACACUCCUAUUAAUAGGACUGUUUAAAUUCAUAUCCUGCAGCUCUCAGUAGCUUUAUCCUUGUAAUUUCCCUAAGCAGAUAGAAUAAAAAAAAUAUAUUACAAUCUUAAUUACUUCAAUAAUAAUUAAAAGCUGUUAUAAAGAUAACCCAAAAAAUAAAAAUGCAAAAUUUGACAUAAUUCAAUAAAAGCCUAUUUCAUAAAUAAACUCAUUGUAGCAAAAUAAUCACAAUCCAAUUAUCAUUUUUCUACACUUAAUCACUAGCAAAUACAGCAUCCAACAAAUAUUCACGAAGCUCUAGCCACGCUCUUCCACUGUCAAACCUCUCACGUACACGCCUCACCUCAAGCCAACUUUACAUUCUUCUUCUUCUUCUUCUUCUUCUUCUCCUUCUUCUACUUCUUCUGUCAGUGGACUUACUGCUCCCUUUUAACUCCUAAUUAAUUUUAAACUCUAAUUAUUUAUUAAUCCUAUUUAGACUUGAACUCAACAUAAAUAACUUAAUCAUAAGCUUGGAAUCCCUUAUAUUUUUAGAGAUUUGACUUUAAUUACUUUAUAAUCAGAGGCCUUCAUUGUAAUAAAGAAUAAAUAAAAGAAAAAAAAAAACUCACUAAAAAUACUUUAAUCAGAGUAAAAAUAUGAUAAUAUUUGUAAUUAUACAGAAUAAAAAAAAAGGAAAAUAUGUGCAUGAAUGAUGCAUGUGUUAAAAUAGUUUUGGUGUUUCGUACGUGGAAGGUGGGUUGGAAUCAUAGAUUAGCGUGUGCUUACCUGCCAGCCAACGUGGAACGAAUUCGAAGGUUUUGAAAAUUUAUAGAAUCAGACAAUGGAAGUGAAUGUGACGUGAAUUCAAUUUUAAUGUGAUUUUAGUAGCGAUAUUUUUUCAUUAAAAUUUUAUCAUAAAAAACUUAAUUUGUUGUAUUAAAGUUUCGUCACAAAAAUAUUCAAUAUGUUGUUUGAAUAAGCUAAAAUCAUAAUCAUGGCGAAUUCACUUGAAUGCCAAAUUAUAAAGUUAAAUAUAAAAACAAGUAAUAAUUUAUGGAUUUUAAUAUACUAGUUCCAUUUUUAUUUCACACAAUUUAUGACCAGAAUAGUUUUGUUGGUGAUAUUUCAUUGGGAGCAAAAAUCUUAUUUUAGAAUAUUUUAUAUUUAUACACUCAAAUAAUAUAUAUAUAAUAUAAUAAAAUUGGAUUCUCAAUUGCUACCGUAUGUUAACGGUAGCAAUUGAAAACGGUAUUUUAACUUAUUUAUUUUCUAUUUGCAUCCCCUUUCACGUGUUUUUAAUUUUGAUUUUAAUUAACUUACGUUUUUAAGAUUAUCCUUUCAUUCGCCUUUUUACGGUGUUCUUUUGCUCGAUUCAGUCGUCUUUUCCUUUCAUCGAAACGGUAAUGUUUCAUUGAGAAACUAUUUCAGAGCCGUUUGUUUCUUUUCUCGGCAGUACAUGGCCAUUCUCUCGCCUUUCUGCCAUCUCUCUAUGGAUGGUCGCGUCCUUGCGCGCGUCUAUCCAUCAUUAUCUGCCCCUGCAAUGUCUCAUCUUUGCAGCUUUUUGAAACCUCCUGUUUCUCACUUCUCCCCGUCCAAGUGUUUCAGCGUUUUUGCGGGCGUCUACACAGCAUUCUCCUCUGUAAUAUCUUACCGUUGGACUCUCAAAAACCCAUUUAAUGCUCGCUACCCCAUAUUCAGUCCGUACCCUAUUUCUCUCUUCUCUUCAUUCAUCUAUUUUAGCAUUUUCACGCGCAUUUGCUUGUCGGUGUUCUCUUCAGUGGUGUCUAACCGUUGCGCCUUUGAAAGCCUCUUUCUUACUCGCCAACAUAACUUUCAGUUCAUAAUCUGUUUCUCUUUUCUCUCCGUCUAUGUACUGGCCUGCGUUUGUGAGGGUGUGGCUGUUCAUGAGUCUUUGUAUUUUGCCAUUUAUUAUUUUAAUGGCUACAUAUUUCAUCCUUUUUUAUUCUUUCUUGCUUUGCUCACUUGGGACGAAACCGGUGAAAUAUAAAAUAUAAAAAUGAUUAUUUAUUCAUUCUUUUAAAUGGAGAGAAUUUAUUAAUUUAUUUAUAAAAAAUAAUUUAGUACUAGGAAAAAAAAAAUAUUUUGUUGAAGUCUUUAUCAUUUAUGAUUGCGAUCGAAUAAAAUUUAAGUGAAAGAGUUGAAUUAUUUUGAUGAGAUCACGUUUUAAAUUUCUAAUAUUACUAAAAGGUUUCAGUGUCUAAAAUAAUAUUGAGGUUAAUGGUUAGAUGAACUCGUGACCAACUUCUGUUCUGCCGCUGUUAGAUCUACUGGUAUCCCUGCGGCUGCUAAGGCAAUUAUGGGUGAAAUGUUAUUGGAAAAAUUAAUUUGAAUUUUAAUUUAUUUUAACUAUAAAAAUUGUUAGAAUUAAUAUUAGUUCGUUGAUUCACGAUCUCAUUAUUUAUUUGAUUACUGUGCAACUGUUAAUAUUUUAUUUCACGUGACAAUCUAGGAAACUAAAAAUCUUUCUUUCAAACUCUUGAAAUAUAAUAAUAGCCGUCAUUCUUGAUUUUCUCAUGUUUUACUUGUAUAUGAGACAAAGUUAUUGCUAUUAAUGAUUGAUUGAAUGAAGAGAAAUUUUCCUCAAUACAGACUUCGUGUUCGGUACAUCUUAUAUUAGUUUCCACUAAGAAAAAUAUUUUUAAAAUUGAAAUUAUAGGACUUGAACCGAUUAUCCAUAAUUCCAAAGGGUGCCUAACUUGGCCCAAACCAACAGUUUGGGCUAGUUGGCCCUGAUAUUCCAUCAGAAAACAACUAUAAACAGAACAACCCAAAAACUCUCUGAUAUUACAGGAAGCUGACCCAGAUGCGCUGCCAAGAAGAACGGAAGUGAGCAGUAUGGGAACAACAACUCCAUGGAAGCAGCUUCUGCUACGUGCAUUAGAGUCCAAUUCCCACCUCAAGCACUCUUCCUUCUUUCAAUUUGUGCGUCUUAAGCAUUUUAUAUCGCAUAGAUGUUUGUACAAUAAUACGCUCCAUUUGUUGCGAUCAGUUAAUUCUGUGGUGCUGGUGGUUGUUUUUUUGGGGCACAGGCAACAGUUGGAUCUGAUGGGAGACCUUCCAAUCGCACUGUAGUUUUCAGGUACUCUGUCUUCGAGCGUGAGUGUGUUUCUGUGUGAAAUUUGUUGGUUGAUGAGAGGUUUAUUGAUGGUUUUACAGAGGAUUUGCAGAGAACAGCGAUAAGAUCCAAAUCAACACAGAUUCUAGAACUCGUAAGGUUGUUUUCUUCAUUUCUUUUUCCUUAUCUUUUUUUUCCAAAUUUAAUUAAUUAAGUUUGUGCAUUUUUGUAUUAAGUAAAUACUAAACAAAAUAGUAUCAUGAAAUUAGGGACCACUAGUGUUUUUAUCUGUAUAAUUUGUGGAAUUAGACGAGUUAGGUCCUACGUCGGAGUAGGCAUACUUGUACCUGCAAGAUAUGAAUCACAAGUGCUAUAUUAACUAAGUGUUGAAAGAUUAAUUGUGAGGAACGCUUGGAAUGUGAGGAAGGCUGAGAAUGUGGAGUACACCGACAGUUAGAGAAGUCAAGGUCAAAUAACUGUUCUGACAGUUGUUAGUUACUGAUGUCAGCCGAGUUACUUGUCAAGUUUUUUAGAGAAACCCGUUGAUUGAACUGGAAAAUAAAGCGAGUUGUAAGUGUAAGUCAAUUGCGAAUUUUAAUCAAGGAUUAUCCAGAAAGUUCUGUCAAUCUUUUCCCUUCUUCUUUCGUUAUUGAUUGCUUUUGUUUUAAUUCUUUCCAUCCCUUUUUCUCUCCUACUUUCUACAAAACAAACACUCAACUGUCAAUCAGACCUUUAAUUCCUCAACUCCAGCCACUACAGGACAUAAAACUUGCAAUCAGCUUCAAAUAGUCCUGACAAAAUAAUUGCAAGGAAAGACUUCCAACUCAAACUAUCAAGCAUUUGAACAUUGCAUUCAAGUUACUGUGCCAACCAAAUUCCAUAAUAUGGAAUGAAAUGCUAUGACACCCAACUGAUGAUGACUCAGUUCACGAAACCCACAAUUUGGUCAACUAGGUUGUUUUUUUUUUAAUAUUAUUAUUAUAGCCGUAAUAGUGGAGCAAUGUGAAAACCUGAAUACAAGAAAGUAGAAGGUUUAGAGUUGCCUCAUGUUUGUUAAUUAUGUGUCAAUUUAAUACAUAGUAUGGGUAUAACUUGCAAUGACCCUCUAACUUAAAUACCUAUUAUUAUAAGAUCAUAAUAUGCUGCUUUUGAUUUUGGCUUGAUUAUGCAGAUUGAAGAACUUAAGCAAUGUCCAUUUGCUGAGGUAAUAAACCUACAUUUUAUCUCUUUUGUCAAUUCACUGCUCUAGCGUGGCUUUCACUUUUUGCUUUAGGUUAUUUCAGAAUUUGAUCAUUCAUGUCUUUUAGAUUCGAUGAGUUACAGAGUUUGGUACUUCAAACUUAUAUUUAAUUUUUCUAGAUAUGUUGGUAUUUUACUGACUCUUGGGAGCAAUUCCGGAUCAAUGGAAAAGUAGACAUUAUUGAUGGGUUGAAUCCUGAUCCUGCAAAGCAUGAGGUACCUAUAACUACUUUGAGCACAAUGUCUCUUCCAUGUUUAUUCGAACUUUUUAUCUAGAAGAUUUGAAUAUCGUGAGGUGUCUCACUUCUGAACACCAAUAUUUUGUUGGAAAGAUGAUGUUAAACAGAUUUUUUUUAAUGCAUUGAAUUUUCAGUUCAUUUUAAUGCGUUCUACAAACUUAUAAGACUGUAUUUAAAGGCUACAAAAGCCGAAUGUCAGUAACAGUGCUCUUCAAUAUUGUUGUUAUUGGAUUGCAUGAUCCUUUAAAUUCUCCUUUUCUUGAAUAUUAACUAAUAGUAAUAACAUACAAAAUUUACUAUAUAUGUGUUUAUAUAUACUAUAACAUGUAAUGAUAAUUUACAAAAUGGCAAACAAUGAAUGGGUAUAUCCAUCCCUGGUGCACAAUUUUCUUCCCUGCUACAGUGUCUAAUCGUUAAAGAUGGGAAUGCCAAAACUUGCGCUGCCUUACUGCAUCCCAUUGUCAUUUCCAAUUUUAAACUAUCAGAUAUUUAUGACUAGUGAAAAGAUUGCUUGUAAUGGACUUUGAUUUGAGGUUGAGCAUAUGAAAGGGUAGAUGGAGAAAAAUAUGGUGAAAUGAGCCUUCUGGUAAAACAUAAACUGCUGUUAUUUUGACACUCUUCUUAAGAUUAAUCUUCAUUAGAAUAUGCACUGGGCCUUUAAUGUGCUUCUUCAUCACAUUAACUGAUGAAGAGAUUGUUGAGAACUACACAACAUCUAAAUGAUGCUUCUAGAUAGAUCUAAUUUGAUAUGCAGUGCUGUAUGCGUCAUUGCUUGUAUUCUAGAACUUUCUCUUUUGAUAAUGCCAAAUGGUGCCUUAUAAAGUUGAUUAUAGAUUUUACAUCAUUCCAUCUUUCACUCAUGCUUUCACCAUUUUGCAUCCUUGAGUUAUUCUAGGUCUUCCUCAUUCUUUAUAUCAAUCGUUAAUGAUGCAGAUAAGAGAAAAAUCAUGGUACGCCAGUUCUUUAAAGUCAAGGAUGCAAUACCUGGGUCCUAAUCCUGGACUUCCUUGUCUAAAUGAGCAACCUUCCCAUGAUUUCUUUCUGGAUCCUUCUUCAGGCCCAGUUGCCACAUUUUGUCUGCUACUUUUAGAUCCAGAGCAGGUGUGAAGCUUCUCAGGUCUCGAAUUUAUUGCCUGAAACUUUUGCCAAACCUUAUAAACCUCAUCGAUUUGCAGGUUGAUUACCUGAAUCUGAAGAGUAACCAGAGGAUAAUGUUUACCUUAAUGAGAAAUGUCAACGGAGAACAUUACUGGAAUUCAGAGAGGACCAAUCCAUAAAGUCUGCAAACAGAGAUGAAUCAUUACUUCAAAAUCAUUAGUACUUGUUAUUCUCAAAUGAUAAUAAAGAAAUUACCGACGCUCCAUCUGAAUAAAUUGUAUGAAUUCAUUCUUUUACCUUCUAGAAUAGGACAGAGAUGUAUCAAUCGUUAAUAUCUGCAAUUAUGACUUCAUAUUGAUCAGGCACUACUUGGAUUCAUCAUUGUUAUUAGAACAUGAUCUUUUUAUGUAUGCAACAGUUCUACUUACCACUUUGUAUGUGAAGUCUCAGAUACCAAAGCAAUAUGGAUGUUUGCGACCCUCUCAUGCAAAGCAUCUUGCCUAAAUGAGUAUCCAUUCCAACUGUUAGAGAGACUGACUACUGAAAGAAAUGAAGGUAAACUAUUGAAACGACGUUUAAGUGGAAAAUUAUGUCUUCCUCUAAGAAGAUUGUGGAAUACUCAUUUGAGCAAGAGGCCUUCCUAUGGAAGGGAUAUGUCACGAUUUCCCUUAUCAGGAUGAAAGUCGCAACUAUUAUAUUUUCUCUUUAGUUGCAUCUCACCUACCGGAAAUUUAUCUUGAUAUGGGUGGUGGUUGUACCAGCCUCACAAAGGAUUACUGAUUUCUGUUUAGUUACAUCUUUGGGCUGUUAGCUAAAAAUGUUUUCUCAUGAGGAGACAUUAUUUCAAAAUUUCGUUUGCACUCCCCAAUGCUUGUCAAUUGGAAGUGCUCAUAAAAUUGGUUGAAAGGCUCUUCAUUGGUAUACCAAAUGCUGUUUAUGGUAUUUCACUUGGUUUAAUGUGCUACAUUAGAGUACUGCUUGUUCUAUCUGGGGUAGGUUUCUUAUGAUUAAAUUUGCGUGUUUUAAUAUAAUUCCUCACAUCAAUGUGAAUAUAUUCUUUGGUACGAUCCUUUCCCUACUUUUAUUGAGCUAAAAGCUCUAACAACCUUAUCUUUUUCUUUCAAAGGCAUUAAAAAGUUGCAACUUUGCAAGAUUAUGCUCUCUGCGUCUGUGGAUCAGACAAUGCAAAGUUCGAUGCAAUGGAUACAGCCAAUUGGAAAUCUGAAAAUUGAUUUAAGGUACAGGUGAGUCCCUAUUCCCCAUAACAUCUCAACUCUCAAUUUGUUCCUUCUGUUGGUGUUUUUAAAUAUUUAUGGACACAAUUUAUCCAAAUACAGUGGGGUGCUAUCCGCCUUUCAACGAAUCUCAUUUGCUUGUAUAGUUUGGGAUUGGAACCAUGUUAGUUCUUGACUUUCUGAUCUGCUGAAAGAUGGGUGGUUGCAUUGUUCUGAGAUUUUGUUUUUGUUUGUGUUUAUAUUAAUUUAUUGGAUAAGUCUAAUAUAAGCUCAAUAUGGGAAUUUAGGUCCCUUAAUUUGUUAAAAUUAACUGUUUAUUAUUUUUUUAAAAUCCAAUUAAAUCUCCUAUAUAUUUUAUAAAAUUAAAUUGUUUAGUUCUUAUUUGUGAAAAUAAUUAGUUAAUUGGUUUUAACCUAGAAUGUUUAUAUUAUUUAGUCGUAAUGUUACUAUUUAUAUUUUUUAGACAUAUAAUUUUAACUAUCUAUAUCUUUAGUCCAUUAUACCAUAACUAAAAUUUAGUUUACUAAUUUUUUUCAUGGAAAUUUAAUAAAAGGACAAAAGUUUAAGUUUAACAAAUAUGGGAUAUUUUAAUUGUGUUUAGAAAAAGGACAACAUAGUUAAUUUAUAAAAAAAUUAUAUAUAUAUAUAUAAAUAGGGACUUAAUAGUCUUUUAAUUUUAAUUUUUCAUAAAUUAAUAUAAGUGGAUGGUAUAUUAAGAAUUUUUUCAAAAAAAAAAUACUUUUUAUAAGCAGAGGUUAAUUUUUACCUAUAUUAAUUAUAAUUUCUUAUUUCAUGUAAAAUUAUUUUUAUGGCAAUUGUGGCAGUUUUCUUCAUGAUUAUGUUGAAGAAACAUUUAAUCUAAAGAGUUUUGUAAAUAAAUGGACGGAUUUUCAAUUUUUGAGUUAAAAAAUGAAAUGAUGAUUUGCAUGAAUUUAUAAUUGGUUUAAUCAUAUAACGGCUCUAAUGUGGCAUAAGAAUGUAGUGGCAUAAAUGUAUAUAUAUAUAUAUUUUAAUACUGGGUAAUAUAAAUUUAUACCAUCUUUGAACAAAGGCAACAGAUUGAUUGGGGUAGCAUUUAGUGAAACUUACCCAUUUUAAAAUGUGCUAUUUAAAUAUAGUUAUAUGAGAUCUUUUAAAGUAUUUAGAUAUUUUUGUAAAAUAAUUAGGGUUAGUAAUAAACAAUUUUCAUUAGUGUAAAGUAUUUUUUUUUCCUAAAAAGAAUUUGAAGAGCUCUUUAACAUGAAAACAAAUUCUUGUAAUUCUUUCCUAAAUCCGGUUUAUGGUUGAUUCAAAAUACAAAUAAAUAUGUUAUAUUUAAUUUUUAUAUGGUGUUUUGGGUCUAGGCAAAAUUUUCCCUUUCCCCAAAUAGAAGUUGAGAUUUCCCUUUGGGCUAAUGCCCAACGACCUAUUGCUUAAAUUUUGCUAAUCCUACAAUUUUUUUUCCCCGUCUUUUUUUUAAUACGUAUAUUUUUUUUAUUGGGGCUAAGGCAUGCAUAUGUUUGUUUAUGAAUUAUGAUAUGAUAUGGUAGCCCGUCCAACCCAAACUUGAGAUCAGCAUUUAGUAGAUAGUUUGUCCAUCGACACCAGAUAAAAAUUUAUCAAAAAAAGGGCUAAAAAAAGGAAACAUGAUACUACUUAUGCAGUGAGAAAAUGCAAACAAAAAAGUGAGGGGAAAUGUGCAGUUGUAUUAAAUUGAAAAAUUUCUUCUUUACGCCACAAUUUGCAGAGAGAAAUUAACCACGCCUAUUACAGACUUGCGCCUAAAGAAUCCUUGUCUGAGAAUUUCACAACAUUUAUCCGAAAUCCGAGUAUUCCAGGGUCCCUAGCAUCGAGGGAGAUCUGCCGGAGGAUGUGGCAGCGUCUGCAAGUGUCCUUUCCCAUUCUUCACUAUCAGCACCGUAGCUAAUCCCCAUGAUUGGUGUACAUCAAAAUGACAGUGCAUAAACCAAACCCCUAUAGCAAAACAGAUCUACACCAUUAAUUACUAUCAAUUACAAGCUUAAAUUAACUACUCAAUUACCCUUUUAAUCAAGCGAUUUGACUUACCCGGAUUAUCUGCUACAAAUCGAAUUGCUGCCCAUCCCCCAACUGGAACUCCAAUGGUGUUCAUAUAUGGAGGAUCCACUAGAUUGAGUUUUGCUGUUUUUGGGUCAUAGUUGCCGGUGCCGUAUCCCACCACAUAGAAGCUGUAGCCAUGGAGAUGAAUUGGGUGAUUUUCAGUUGUGACUGUUCCAGUGUCCUGCAUAAUGAUUUGCACCCUGCUUCCAUACUCAAGGACCUUAGUCCUUGUCCCAUUCACUGAGUUUGUGUCAUUUGGGGCAUUGUUAGGUGCCCCAUUCACAAAAUCAUAGAAUCUAAGAGGUGCUCCAGGGAAAUCAUCAGUGAAAAAUCCCUCAAUCCCCUUGUAAUAGGCUUCCAAAAUUGAAACUGUAGGCAUAAUGAAACUUAUAUUGUUCAUGGAAGCUGCCAUUGUACCAUUAUUAAGGCCGUGGCAACUUUGCUUUGGCGUUUUGGACCUGCACUUGUUGACAUUUAUUCCAAUAGUGACAAAGAGGUUUGCAUCAAUCUCUUUUGGUACGUUUGAAGCAUUUAAGCUUCGUAGGCCAUCCAUGACUGUCUUAACAGCUAAAUUAUCAUUAAAAUUGGGUAAUUUAGCUGGUAAUGAAAUGCUGUUAGGGACAACACCUGCGUAUUGAAAGUAAGCAAUUGCUGAAUUGUUCUGAAAUGAGACACCAUGAGCUGACAUGUAAGGUCCCACGGCCAUGGAAUACUUUCCAAUGGGCUGAUCGGCGGUGACGAGGACCAUCAUUGUUUGUCCCGGUCCGAGCAUUACACGGUCGGUGGUGAAUGGUUUUGUGUACUCAGCAUCGGCUUCUACGAUUGUUAAUUUGUGAUUAGCAAUUGCAAAGAAGUUUUCCAUGUUCACUCCUGCGUUUAUCAACCUUAACAGAUAGGUUUUUCCUGGGACGACGUUGAGCCUAUAUACGUCUGAAAAAUAAUAUUUAUUAAUUAAUUACUGCAUAAGAAAUUGUACGUAUAAAAGCUAUUAUAAUAAUCAAAAUAGGAGCUGAACAAGUCAUGCAGAAAUAUGAUGAGUUUAUUUUUUAGGAUUAGUGACUGCUUAGCAGAUUUUUUUUUACUAACUUUAUUCAACACUUGAGUUUUUGUUUUAUAAUAUAAAAACUGAGCGUUUAAAUUUUUCUUUUUAGAAAUGUUUUAGGGAAAAAAAAUCCUUAGUUGAUGAUUUUCAUUAGCAUAUAUAUAAAGGAAAAAAAAAGGUAUAUGUGUAGAAAUAUAUAGAAAAAAAUAGAUAAUAUUACCAUUAGCAGAGCAAUUGUAGUUAGGGCCAGGGUGACCAUUGAUGGUAUAGGCAUUCGACGGUGGAGAAGGUGCUCCGCUUGCUAGCACUUGCUGCUCUAGCUGUACAACAUCCUGGAGCCAAUACUCCCCUGAUUAAACACAUUCCAAACAAGAGGUCAAUGCAAUCUUUAACUAAUAAACAAUGGAAUGGUUAACAGUAAUAAAUCUCAUACCUAGAAUUACUAUAUGCUCUUCAUAAGGGUGUUUAAAUGGGUAUGGGACACCAGCUUUUGGGUACACAACAAUGGCACCAUAAACUGUACCCCUGAGCCAAGAAACAUGAGCAUGCCAAAAGAAGGUUCCCUUUUGUCUAACCAAAGUGAACUCGUACGUGAAGCUCUGCCCAGGCUGAAUCGGACACUGAGUGAUGUAUGAAGGUCCAUCAAACCAGCACGAGAGUAUCUGCCUGACACCGUGCCUUCAAAAAGUAAUAAUACCCAUCAUUACAGGAUUCUCGGAUUUAGAAUCCAAAUUAUUAAGUGAAAUCCAAUGAAGUUGAUUAAUUACCAGUGGAUGGUGACAUUGUGAGGAGACUCGUUGGUAACUUUGACGAUUAUUCGAUCCCCUUGUUGAGCGUAAACGACAGGGCCAGGAUACUUAUUAUUGACGGCCACAAUUUCUUUACUGUUGCACAAUUUUUUGACGGUCAUUGUAUGAACCUGAUAGCCAUUAAUUCACAAACAGAAGCAAAUGAGCAGGAAAUACAUAUACCCAGAGCGAAAACGUAUAAUAGUAAAAACAAAAAACAGAUAGGUGAAUAUAUAUAUGAGACCUUGAAAUCAUAGAACCUGGUUGAUCCCCCUCCAGGCCAGUCGGCCGCCGAAAGAACAGUGUAGCCGCCGGACAUGAUUAAGCUUAAGCAUACGAUCAUAAAAGAAUAGGACGAGUUGGCCAUGCUGAGAGAUGAGAUAGUGAGAGUUGGUGAAGACGUGUUGGUGGGAAGAAGCUUUUAAUAGAUAGUUAAAGGUAAUAGAGAUUAGAGAGAGAAUAGUGAAGUAAAGAAACUACAUUAAUAAAUAUAAUGAAGAAAUCCAAAGAGGGAAAGAGAGUUAAAUAGUUUUGUAAUGUGUUUGUCAGCUUUCAUGAUUUCUCUAACAUGGAUUCGUGAUAAUAAGGUGUUGGGAACGUUAUUAUUCAAUGUGACCCAAAUGUGGGGAAGAGUUUAGCCUUCUCUUUCUCUCUUUGAUUUUUCAGUGAAAUCAUGCUAUUUGACUAGGUGAAUAUGGAUUCCAUCUCUAAACCCCACAAGCCAACGGCUAUUUACCCAUGUCUACUCUUUACAUUAUAUAAAAAUUUUGCCUUUUUUGGUGAUUUUAUGUGGACCAAAAUUGAGGUGAAUUUGGUUAAAAACUUAACAAGGAUUAUUGGGUAUUGGAAUGUAAUAUUUGUAGAAAGAUAGCAAGAAAAGGAGAAGGUAGGGUUAAUUGGUUGUGCUUUUAAAAGACAAGUGUGUUGGUCAAUCAUAAGCAGUGCUGGUGCACGCCUUCCAUUCCUUCCGGCCCCAUUGGAGCUCAACCCAGAAGAACUAAUCUGCUCUACCUUCCAUUCCAAUGUAUACACCAUAUAUCAUUCAUUAUCUACAUUCAAGAAUUGAAUUAAUGAGUUUAUUUAUUUAUUUAUAUUUUGAUAAUUCGUAAUUCUAAAAUCAUUAACAAAUCAUGUAUGCAAUUGGGGUCUAUUGCAUCUUCCUAUGUGUAUAUAUACAUAUUCCUUCUUACACCAUCACAUGCAAAGACCCACAUGGUGAAGUUGAUAUUCCGUUAUACUCUUGCUUUAUUAAAACCUUUCAACCUAAAAAAUUCAAACAGUCAAUUUAAUUAACUUUUAUGAUUAGAGUGGAGAUGGUCAUGUUAAAACUUGCCUUAUCUGGUUCUCAUUCUAGCUAUAUUUAAUUAUAAUAUUUUUUUAUUUUGAAUUCAAAAUAUAAUAUUCAGGUAAUAUCCUUGGCCUUUGGGCCUUAUAUUCAGACAUUCUUAAUGAAAUCUCUAUGUUUUUCAUAAAAAAAGAAUGGUUAAGUUUGGUAAAAAAUUAGCUAGUAAUGAGGUUUAAGAGUUGGGUUGGAAUAAUAAAGUGGGGGAGCCUUUGGAUUGAUUAAUUGGAUGAGAUAAGCAUUGAAAUGCAAAAUUUGAGAAAUUAGGGUUUAAAAUAUUGGCGAAUAAUGGAAGUUUCCUAAUGAAGAAAAAGUGUGUUAUUCAUACUCUGACCAAAUUUGACGUAGCAGAUGAUUGUGUCCACAGGCAUGCAUCACUAUGAUAUCCAUCAUUCCUUACUUCAAUUUUAAGUUUUCAGGCCUAGCUGAGUGUGAUGGUGGUGGCUACCUCUGCCCUACAGCUCAUUGUGAUUCGGUUUUAGGUUUCAAUUUCUGGGUUUUUGUUAGAUGAUCAGUAGUCUCUGUUUAUUUUAUGGAAAAUGUAAAAAAUAUUUUUUAAUAUUUAAAUAUUUUGAAAAAUAGAUAAUAUUUUCUUAAUUAAAAAAAUUUAAAUAAUCUUCCACACUGAAAUAUUUUUAUUAAUAUUUCUAUAUAAAAAUUUAUUAAUAAAUUUUAUUUUUUAAAUUGAAAUUAAAUAAUAAAAAAUAAAUUAUUUUAUUAAAAAAUAUUUUCUACAAAAAUUAUUUUUUAAAUAUAAAUUAUUCUUUGCAAAUACAUGAAAGUUUUUAUAUUUAAAAUUUUAUUAAAAACAGGAUCGUGCAAGAAAUACUAUUUAUUACUAUAAUUGUUAGUUAUAGCAAAUUGAGGAGUAACAUAUAUAUGUAUUUUUAAUUAAACUUUACAAACAAUAUAAAAAAAAAGCCAAAUAAUUUAAUUUAAUUGGAUUUAGGAGCAUGCAUGUUUCCUUUCUUCCAUUAUCUACUAAGUUCAAAGAAGGAAUAAUAAUAAUAAUAAAAAUCACUGAAAAAUGAAUAAUUAUUAUGAAAUAUGUAAAAUGGGCUGGGGAAUAUUCUCAAAAUGAUUACACCAUUUCAGGAAAAAUUAUUGUAAUCUGAAUCACAAAACUCACUAAUUGACGAACUAAACUUAAUCUUAUGGACCUAUCAAAGCUGAAUCAUCUACUCAUAGUUUUUAAUUUAAAAAAUUCAUUUUAAAUAAAAUAUAUAAUUGAAUAAUAAUUCAAUUGAAUUAAUUCCUUACAGAAAAAUAAUACUUUUAUAAGAUAUCAAUUUGCUUUCACUUAAAAAAUUAACUUGUCCAAAACAAAUCCAAUAAUCUCAACUUAACACUUAUCUACAUGGAAAACAAUAUGUAAAUGAGCGUGAGACUCCCAGUGAAGGACAUGAUCAUAAGGCAAGAAGGCGUAUAUGUGAAGGGGAGCAGACUGAAGUGAAGACCUGGAUGAUGCAUUAGCACAAAAUGUGCUCCAUGUGGUGGAGAAAGAAACGUUAAUUAAUUAGGACAAGUGUAUAGAAAGAGACAAACAACCAAAAAUUCCUCCAUGGAUUUGCCAGCUACGCAAAGGUUCAAUAUUUGAAUAUACACAGAUCGAUCUGCCACUGACAGUCACCGGCAUGUUACUCCUCUGAGGAGCUUCCAAGGAAACCAGGCCAACCCAUUGCCUCCAACACUGAAAUUAUCAUAACCGUAAUUGCAAUUUGCUUCGCCAAAGACAAGAUUUUGCAACAAACUUUCGUAACCUAUUUCUUUGUCAGAAAUAAAUAAACCAUAGUAUAUAUGUUGUUAAUGGCAGAGGACAAAAUUUGUUACCUUCAUAUGAUCUCCAUUUCUCUUAUCGUUUCUACAAGGGAUAUAUUAAGAAUUCAAUCGCCAUGGGUUGUCUGGUCUUUAGAUCCAGAAGACGAGCAAAAGUUCAGGUUUCUGGUAGCAUUCUCAAGGAGAAGCGUACAAAGCUUUACAUUAUCAAACGCUGCGUGCUUAUGCUGGUUUGCUGGAGAGACAAUGGAGAUAAGUGAUUACCCCCUUAGUUGCUUUUAUCAAAUGAUUUUAUGUAUUUAUGAUCAUUUUUCACCUGCGACUCCUGUGCUUUAUGCUGCAAGCAAUUCCAUUUACUUUGUUUAGAUAAAUUACAAUUGAUUUACUUUUUAUUGUCCAUUCAUUUACUUGAUUAAAUUUCGCCAGUCUUACAUUAUUAAAAUUGCACUUGCUGGUUAACGCAUUUGCUUUCCAUGACAUCACGAGAAUAACCGGUACCCAGCUCAGUAUAUACUCAUGCUGGCCAUGGCAUGUCCGUGGCAAAGUUUUGUCUCCCCUGUCGGUUCAACUGAUCAAAUAAGGCACGAAACUUAAGAUAGUGACAACGGUAGCAAUUGUCACAGCUAAGAUGCUAAAAGCAACCAAUUUUCUCCUGUCUGUAUUCAGUUAAAGUGCAUUUAGCAGCAGAAUUCCAUCUAAGGCUACUCCACUAUCAAGUCAGGAAAAAGCAGGACUCAGGAUGAAUGAAGAAUGAAUGAAAACCAGGACAAGGCCCUUAAACUUCAGUUCACACUAUAUAGGUGUGAGAUCAAGUCUCUUCAAAGCACCAUAGACAUACCAUAUAAGAAAUAAAAACAAAAUAAACACACAUGCAGAACCAUCUCCACUUACCAGCUUGCAUUCAAAGGGAGCCCGGCAAUAAGUAGGCAGCUUGUUGCUCAGCAACAACUCAGUUAAAAACUCAAAAUUUGAUACUAGUAUAAAUGGAAAUGAAGGGAAAACGUGUACUUAUUGCAGUCCACAGGUAUAUGGUAACAAGGGUAAAUGAUUGCAUCUGGUCUAGUUCUUGCAGCAGUGAAAAUUGUUGACUACUUGGCCCCAUGCAAUAGAACGCCAAAUUAAAAAUUUUCUUACUAUUUAAUUUAAAGAUGCUCAUUUCAAUUUGAAUAGGUACAGAGGCAAGACAAUUCUGAAUUUGCAUGAUCACAUCCACAUACAUCUAGAUUCUAUUAAUCCAUCGUGUAGGCUCCUGAUCAUGUAAAACGGUUCUUAUAUAGCCAUUUAUCUUACUGAAAUCAUACUCCCCUCAUAAUUCGACUAUGCGGCAAAACCAAUAAACGUUUUGGAUAGGAAAAUCAAAUAGCUUAGAACAUUUCUGUGCUGCUUCUUCAAAUGGAUUAAACCCUACAAAGACAGUGACUUAGAAAUCUCAUGAAAGCGAAAUCAAACCUCAGUCUCCUCCCAUCACAAAGCAAUCAAGUAAAAAUUUCAAAGAGCACCCAGACGACCACGAUUAGCCUCCGAGAAUUUGAAGCUCCCAACAAAAUUUCAGAAAAAAAAAAAAGAAAAAAAAAACCCUAAGUGUUGAUUGAUUAAUUAAUCAAGAAGAACAAAAUACAAACCAGGACUGUUAGGGAUACUUGGCACAGUUAUAUGUUGGAAAGUAUUUUGUAAAAAGCAGCACAAAAUUAAACGAACCCCAUACGCUAGACAAUAAUAAUAAACAUUAUCAAGUGAACUAAUGGGCAACGGAGGUGGUGGUGGCAGCGGCAGUUAGAUAAGCCUCGGGGUUGUCGUGAACUGUGGGCUUGGAGAGCAUAAGAGGUCGAUCCUUGGCCUCUUCGUCAUCAUCGUCGUCGAGGUCGGUGGUGUUUAGGUUGAUGCAAGAGCAGCGUUCGAGGGACGCGAAGAAAGCAGAGGCCACGUUGCUCCCCACCCAAUUGGCCACACGAUCCAGCUUAUCGCAUGAGAUAAAGCUGCAGCUGUUGUUUUCCAUCUUCUAUCCCUGAAUUGAGUGAUAAAUUUGGGUUUGCUUGAGUUCUAGCCAGAGGCGGAGAGAUAAUGAAACAGAUGAAAGAAAGUAAUUAUAGAAGGUAAUGAUAAAAGCGACGGACAAACAACUAUUCAAAGGAAGCUUUGAUUUUUGGGUUUCUUUCUCUUUUAUAACGGACCACUUGUUAUUUGUCUCUUAUUUCGG
Molecule: long non-coding RNA, 42581 nt
Filed under: Manihot esculenta (cassava)
Lineage: Eukaryota; Viridiplantae; Streptophyta; Magnoliopsida; Malpighiales; Euphorbiaceae
Description: long non-coding RNA (MESC_LNC002620)
Source: RNAcentral